Long non-coding RNA from Puntigrus tetrazona (Sumatra barb), 277 nucleotides. RefSeq lists it as uncharacterized. The transcript is spliced from 3 exons. The record is from RefSeq and is a predicted model, not a curated record. Lineage: Eukaryota; Metazoa; Chordata; Actinopteri; Cypriniformes; Cyprinidae.
AGCAUGUCUAAAUAUCCAGCUGAUAAUUCAAGACUUCUUUUUGUUCUCUUUUUGCAGAUCUGUGUACCUGGAAGAGCAAAGAAGGGAGUUUCAUAGUUUACCUCAGUCAUGCAGAAGGCAGGGACGGCCCCGUCCUCCCGGGGUCCAAGCGCUCCUGGGUCCCCAGCCACCUCCAUUGUGGCGCGGAUGGACAAUCAGGUCAUUGGAUACAAAGACUUGGCCGCCAUCCCCAAAGACAAAGCCAUUCUCGAGGUGGAGCGGCCAGAUCUGAUGGUGU